GUCAAACUCCACUGAAGUAAUAACUUCUGGACAAGGUUCUAGUUUAUGGGAUGAUCCCUAUUUUGUGGCACACCUAACACAUUCUGGAGGUCCCAAUGACAACUAUUAUGGCUUACAUGCCACCAUGGAUGUGUAUGGCCAUGAACUAAAACAUGGCCAGUUGAGUUCGACUACUUUUUGGAUUAAUCAUGCCGGAGAUGGUAAAAAAUCAAGCUAUAAUGCGAUUCAAGUUGGCUGGCAUAUUAAUCCAAAUCGCUAUGGCGACUGACAUCCUCACUUCUACACCCGCUGGACGGUA
Long non-coding RNA from Triticum aestivum (bread wheat), 298 nucleotides. RefSeq lists it as uncharacterized. Lineage: Eukaryota; Viridiplantae; Streptophyta; Magnoliopsida; Poales; Poaceae. The record is from RefSeq and is a predicted model, not a curated record. The transcript has 3 exons.